ACGGAAGGCAGCAGUGGGGAAUAUUGCACAAUGGGGGAAACCCUGAUGCAGCGACGCCGCGUGAGUGAAGAAGUAUUUCGGUAUGUAAAGCUCUAUCAGCAGGAAAGAAAAUGACGGUACCUGACUAAGAAGCCCCGGCUAACUACGUGCCAGCAGCCGCGGUAAUACGUAGGGGGCAAGCGUUAUCCGGAUUUACUGGGUGUAAAGGGAGCGUAGACGGCUUUGCAAGUCUGAAGUGAAAGCCCGGGGCUCAACCCCGGAACUGCUUUGGAAACUGUAGAGCUAGAGUGCAGGAGAGGUAAGUGGAAUUCCUAGUGUAGCGGUGAAAUGCGCAGAUAUUAGGAGGAACACCAGUGGCGAAGGCGGCUUACUGGACUGUAACUGACGUUGAGGCUCGAAGGCGUGGGGAGCAAACAGGAUUAGAUACCCUGGUA
Molecule: ribosomal RNA, 434 nt
Filed under: uncultured Lachnospiraceae bacterium
Lineage: Bacteria; Bacillati; Bacillota; Clostridia; Lachnospirales; Lachnospiraceae
Description: partial 16S ribosomal RNA
Rfam family: Bacterial small subunit ribosomal RNA
Source: RNAcentral